UCAACCAUCAAAAAAAAGUAAUAAUAGUUUUUCUUUGAAAAUAAUUAUAGGCCUCCUAAGAGUAAACUGUUUUAUCUGUAUUUUUGAGCUAAAUUUCUUGAGCAAGAAUAAGGAAAGUUUUUUCUUUUCCUUUCUUUUGAGGGAAGAAUUUGGCAAGCUCAACCUCAUUGCCGCCAAGUGGGUUAAUUAGUUCAAGGAUCG
RNAcentral lists this long non-coding RNA (201 nucleotides) under Elaeis guineensis (African oil palm). Its description in RNAcentral is "long non-coding RNA (EGUI_LNC037211)". The record is from RNAcentral. Lineage: Eukaryota; Viridiplantae; Streptophyta; Magnoliopsida; Arecales; Arecaceae.